AUUGCAGCCACCCUACUUAGUUCCUAAGCCAACUCCAAGUCAGAUCAAAUGAUUACGAAAAAACCUGGUCAUUUACAGGAAACAUUACUCAAGGACAAAUUUUCUAGUUUCUCUUUCAUAAGCGAAAUCACCACAAAGCCCAGCUCAAGUUCGGGUACCUCCGUGAUCUUCUGUUCCCCUCCUGUUCUCCUUCUGGACAGAAUCACCAGCAUAAUUCACACGGACUUCUCUGAUCUCCCACAGGUCGUUAGACUGGAUAUAUUGUAUUGACUUCUGCCUCCUUUAUCCCCCCAGCACUUUCAUUACCACUGUCAGGAAUGGGUUUCAGAAACCACAAAAAAUUUCAUGGAAGAGACAGGAAAAGAAACUCUUGAAAGAAUUUCACACUGAAUGGAAAAGUUCCUUCUAGUCGUCUUCGAGUGAGCUAGUUCUCAAACAUUAUUCUCUGUAGUCUUCCUGAGAACUCAGACUACUGGUAUGUCCCUGCUUGGAAUAUGACUGCUGGAUUCUAGCAAUGUGUUGAUCCCGGCCCCAAGACCCGCCCACGAAAAUGAUUAUUUUAACCCUGAGGACCUAGAUGUGGCCAGUCUUUGCUGGGACCACUGUCGUCAUCGUCAUCGUCACCAUCUAACACCGGCUUUUAUCAAGGGUUGCUCCCUGAGCCUGGAUGCCAAUCAUUCACCUCUCCCUGGCAAAAGUAAUAAAUCAUAGCGAGAAACUGACUGCUUUUGAAGAAUAUAGAAGAUAAAGAAACUGAGUGCUUGAGAACUGGAAGGUGGCAAAAAGCAGCAGGAGGCGAAGAGGAAAAGAUCAAGUGGAAAGAGUCACCACCACGUGUACUUUGCUCAGCUCGGAACUUGAACCCUUCUACAGAGAUCACGUCUGUCUGAGCCUCUUGAAUCGCCAACCUUGUGAUAAACAAUAGGUAAACGUAUCCAGGGAGAAACAGGGCAACACCAAGGAGACAACAGGGCCAUAGGACAGGUUCCAGGUACAGCUGAAGGGCCAUCUGGACACCCACUCCCACCCACUUUCAUCAGAGUCACCAAGCACAGUGGGGGGUCGGGGUGGAGCCACAGGCACUGACAGAGUAGUGACUCCCCCACAACUUCCUCCUUCCUGCCCAGCUCAGCCUGUUUACUCAGCAGACUUGUCUGGUGUAAAGCUCUCAUCUUCCUCACAACAGGCCCAUUUCUCCAGCACCUUCCCAUACCACACAUAGCUGUAUUUCUUAAGGGAGGGAUUUUUCUUUUUACAUUAGCUGUAGACAGCAACCAAAGGUAAAUAACAAUUUGUCUAUAUUUUAUUAUUCGAUUCCUCAGAGAGGUUUCACUUCCUUUCUUGGGAGCAAUGAGCCAAGCAUGAAUAGGUUUUGUGGACACUAAGUCUCAAGUUUGACUGUGACUCCACUUUGGCACUCUACCUGACCUUCUCCGGUAGUGCCGGGCACCUGCCUUACCUUAUUAAGUUAAUUAAAGUUUGGCUACUAAUGACACUCUUCUGGUUCUCCUCCUAACUUGGUGGCUGUCCAUCUAAGUGUCCUUCCCAGGCUCCUCCUCCAAUCAUUAAUAUUGGUAGUCGCUAGAAUUCAAUCCUUUCCACAUACACUUCCCAAAUAAUCUCCUUUUGGUGCACCACUAGCUAGAUGUGUGACCUUGGGCAAGUUAUUGGCCUCUGUGUGCCUCAGUUCUUUCAUCUGUGAAAUGAAAAUAAUAGUAUUAUGUGCCUCCUUGGGUUGUUGUGAGAUUACAUGGGUUGAUAUAAGUAACAUUCUUUUUUUGAAUUUUAAUGAAGUUUUUAAUUUUAAUUCCAGUGUAGUUAACAUACAGUGUUCUAUUAGUUUCAGUUGUAUGACACAGUAAUUCAGUAAUUCUAUACACUACUCAAUACUUAUCAUGAUAAGGGUACUCUUAAUCCUCAUCACCUAUUUCACUCAUCUCCCCACCCACCUCCCAUCUGGUAACCAUCUGUUUGUUCCCUAUAGUUAAGGGUCU
This is a long non-coding RNA of Prionailurus viverrinus (fishing cat), 1994 nucleotides long. RefSeq lists it as uncharacterized. Lineage: Eukaryota; Metazoa; Chordata; Mammalia; Carnivora; Felidae. The transcript is spliced from 5 exons. The record is from RefSeq and is a predicted model, not a curated record.